GCACCCGUAGCUCAAUUUGGAUAGAGCAACACACUCCUAACGUGUAGGUUGUUGGUUCAAUUCCGACCGGGUGCG
Molecule: transfer RNA, 75 nt
Filed under: Candidatus Dojkabacteria bacterium
Lineage: Bacteria
Description: tRNA-Arg
Rfam family: tRNA
About the family: Transfer RNA (tRNA) molecules are approximately 80 nucleotides in length. Their secondary structure includes four short double-helical elements and three loops (D, anti-codon, and T loops).
Source: RNAcentral